RNAcentral lists this ribosomal RNA (328 nucleotides) under uncultured eukaryote. RNAcentral describes it as "partial 18S ribosomal RNA". It matches the Rfam family "Eukaryotic small subunit ribosomal RNA", at positions 1470 to 1796 of the family's 1831-position model. The record is from RNAcentral.
CCCUUAGAUGUCCUGGGCCGCACGCGCGUUACACUGAUGCAUUCAACGAGCUUAUAACCUUGGCCGAGAGGCCUGGGCAAUCUUGUUAACGUGCAUCGUGAUAGGGAUAGAUUAUUGAAAUUAUUAAUCUUGAACGAGGAAUUCCUAGUAAACGCAGAUCAUCAAUCUGCAUUGAUUACGUCCCUGCCCUUUGUACACACCGCCCGUCGAACCUACCGAUUGGAUGGUCCGGUGAAGCCUCGGGAUUGUGGUUCUUGCCGCUUUAUUGUGGCGUGACCGCGAGAACUUGUCUAAACCUUAUCAUCUAGAGGAAGGUGAAGUCGUAACA